Callithrix jacchus (white-tufted-ear marmoset) is the source of this 10793-nucleotide non-coding RNA. Lineage: Eukaryota; Metazoa; Chordata; Mammalia; Primates; Cebidae. The record is from RefSeq and is a predicted model, not a curated record.
AUAACCUUGUUUCUCAAAUUAUUAAUAGUGGCUAUUGCUGGAAGCUGGAAUUUCAAACAAAUUUCACUUUCUAAGUUUUAUAGUUCUGAGUUCAAGUUUUUACAACAAGAAGGAAUUAUUUUUGUAUUUUGGGGGGAAAAAAAGAAACAAUAAAGAUUUUUUUUGAAAGUCUGUUCAUUGUUUCCCAUUCUGGAAGGCGGUAUUGUGGUGUUGAGCAUCCUGGGAUUCCUAUUCCUGAGGGCAACCACAGAAAAUUUAGUGAAGGUCAAGAAAUGGCUUGGAGUGAUGAGAGUGUGGCUAAGGGUGGCGGGACUCUUUGUGGCAGAAACGUCCAGUGGAAGUUUGUAAACUUCAGAAUAAUCUGUGCCCAGCAUCCAAUUUCACAUGAGGCAGUGAUGGAACUGUAUUUUAUUUUGAGUUCUUCGUUAUCAAGUGUUGUGCAUCUUUGUUUCUCAUUUCUUUUUCUUUUUUAGUGUUCUCCUCACUUCAUCCCUCAGUAGCAGGUCAGACGUGUUGCUGCUAGCCAAAGCUGCAUCUCGUCUUUGAGCCAGAUCAGAGCUGUCCUUCUGAUGCGGGGUCAGGUUCAAUGUGAGAUAAACAGCUUUGGAUUCUAAACCCUUGUUGACAUCUCAUCCCUGCUGUACAAUGUGGGAUGGCUAAUGCCCUCCUGCUGCUUGUGAAAUGGCCAGGAUUUAAAUGCUGGGAUCAAGAGUCAAAGAACCAGGGGAUGACCCUGGCAUUUUCAUGCUGGAUGCUUGCCUAGGAGAGGGCAACCCCAUAGGCGUGCUGGGAGUGCUGGAGCAGACGGCAGGCCUUUCUGGGAGCAGCCCACACUGGCCAGCAUUGCCACCCCUUUGCUAGAGGGAGUGUCUAUCCUGACCCUGGGAGGAGAGGCCAUCCCUUACUUUGCUGUCUUGGGCAGAAUUGUUUUCACUAAAGGCCCUGGAACACUUAAACAUGAUUUUAAAGAUCAAUUAUAUAUGUAUAUUUAAUUGGGAUGGGGUCUUGCUCUGUUGCCUGAGCUGGAAUGCAGUGUUGUGAUCAUAGCUCACUGCAGCCUCAAACUCUUGGGCUCAGGUGAUCCUCCCCUCUCAGCCUCCCAAGUAGCUGAGACUAUAGGCAUGAACCACCAUGCCUGGCUAUUUUUUUUUUUUUAAGUCUAUAGAGACGAGGGUCUCACUUUGUUGCCAGGCUGGUCUCACACUCCUGGACUCGAACAAUCCUCCCACCUUGGCCUCCCAAAAUUGGGAUUACAGGCAUGAGCCAUGGUGCCUACCCUCAAUUAUGAGUUCAAAAAUCAUAAAACUAAAAAAAAAACCCAUUAGAGAUGAACAGAAUGUUUGUUUUUUAAAGCCUUUGUCCCUUUGAGCCCCAGGGACUCCAAGACGUGUACCCUCCUCCACGUCUUCCUGACCAGCUUUGAUCACACCAGCCUUCUCUUUUAGGCUUUAUUUCAUAUGAAGAAAGAGUUCAUUUCUAAAAAGCAGUAAGUGUGAAAACCACGGAAUCCAAUCAACUUUAUCGUGCUGUUUCACCCUUAGUGUUCAAGGUCCCUUUAGUGCUGAUGAGUGAAAACAUAGUCCAAUAGUUGGACUAUGACUAUAUUGAGCAGUUUCCUUUGUAUUUGAGGUGGGUUUUAGCACAACAAGCUGGUGGUCAUGCUGAACCAGAUAUUCCUCAAUAAUCUGGAAAUGUAGCCAAGACUCCAAAUUAUGGUGACAAUAAUCAGACACUUCCGUAGGGCACACUGGGUGCUCGCACUUGCCUGAGCCCUUCCCAUGUGGUUGCUAUUUAAUCCUCUCAACAGCCAGGAGGUGGAUCCUGCUGCCAGCCCCAUCUCAUGGUGCCUCUGGUGCUGAGGUUGGAGAGCUGAAUAUUGGGGCUGCCCCACUGGGUCUCAUAAGAGAGCUGCUUUUCCAUCUUCAGUUCUCUGCCUCCCAAUUAAACUCCCAGCCCCAGUAGGAAGGACUGAGGCGGGAGAGAGAAGCUCACAUUUUGGAGAAUGCAAUUUUCUUGGAUAGAAGCUGGUCCUUCCCUCCCUUUUCCCCUUUGGGAGAUAUAUGAUGGGGCUUCCUUUUUCCAAAGUUUCUUGUGAAGAUGGAGCAUCCUGGCAUCCAGCUUUCCAGUUGGACACGUGCAGCAUCAGGACCUGCUGCCUUCCCUGGGCUCCUGGCACAGGAGAAAGUGAGGUCGGGCAGCCCUAGCCCAAAGACAGGCUCCAUGUGAGCCCCAGGCUCUGGACUUGUGGAGCCAGGCAGGCGAUGUAAAGGCCACAGUCGGCUGGGACUGCUGUUGCUUGGGGAACCAGAAGGCUCCUACAUGUGAAGAUUGUCAUGAGAUGCACCCCUAGAGGGGAAUCCAGAUUUCUCCAGGGUCAUCUAGAAAAGCCAUUUGGGAGGAGGCUCUUGCUACUGUCACCCAGCCGAAGACCAUGGAGGACUUGUGGGGUACGUGCAUGAUUAGGGUCCAGCUGGACGAUCGUGGCCACCACUAUCCAGUGGUGCAGGAAAGAGGCCAGGAGAACCAGCCUAGCCAAUGUGGCGAAACCCCGUGUCUACUAAAAAUACAAAAAUAAGCUGGGUGUGGUCGUGCACACCUGGAAUCCCAGCUACUGGGGAGGCUGAGUAGGAGAAUCACUUGAACCCAGAAGGUGGAAGCUGCAGUGAGCUGAGAUCAUGCCACUUCACUCCAGCCUGAGAGACAGAGUGAAACUCCAUCUCAAAAAAAAAAUGAGGCCAGGAGAAGGAAGCUGUGGACAGGCCACUGCUACUCCUUUACUCCAAGCUACCACCACUGCAUAGCUCUUGCCUGGUGUGGAGGAGGGGACGAAAAGAAUGUCGAACCAGCUAUGAGACUGAAGUUUUGAAAUGAACUGAGCUGAAUGUUAGAAAUCUUAAUGAGACUGGAUAAUUGCAAGUGAUGGAAAAAUUCGAGGGAUGACUUUAAGGUCAAGAUGACUUUAAGGAAGUCCCCACUUAGGGGGAAAGACAGGGAAGGGGUUGACAUUGCCCAGAUGGGGUAGUUAUAUUAAAAAUGAAGGCAUUCUAUGUUGGCACCCUGUGAACUGAGACUCUUCCUUUCUUUCUUUCUUUUUUUUUUGAGACGGAGCUUCGCUCUUGUUACCCAGGCUGGAGUGCAAUGGUGCGAUCUCGGCUCACCGCAACCUCCGCCUCCUGGGUUCAGGCAAUUCUCCUGCUUCAGCCUCCUGAGUAGCUGGGAUUACAGGCACGCACCACCAUGCCCAGAUAAUUUUUUGUAUUUUAGUAGAGACGAGGUUUCACCAUGUUGACCAGGAUGGUCUCGAUCUCUUGACCUCGUGAUCCACCCGCCUCGGCCUCCCAAAGUGCUGGGAUUACAGGCAUGAGCCACCGCGCCUGGCCGAGACUCUUUCAUAAGCCAGCCUCCUUUAUCUAUCAGUCUGAUCCAGAAGAAUUAUUGAUGUAUUCAUGCAUUUAUCCCACAAUGCUUAGUGAGUAUAACCUGCAUACAAUGCUAGGUACUAGGAAAACAGGACUUCAGAGUUUUACAGAUGUGCUCUCUUCCUACCUACUAGGUUCUGAAUUCCUAGACAGGGAUUGUAUCUUUUGUUUUGCCCUGUCCCUCACCGCUGUUUAUUGUUGUUACUCAUGUAAUAUCUAUCGUAAGGUAAUGUGUUGUUGAUCGACAGUGGGAAUUAACCCUUCCUCCUCCACAAGAGAGUGCUGGCAUUGUUGCAGAUUCGGGAAGCUUAUUAAUAUUAGUAAUGGUAAUCUCUUAUUUGUAUCGGUAAUAGUAAGUAUUAUUGAUAUACUUGAUAGGACCCACCUAUGGAAGUAACAUUUUAUUUUCUUUUUUCCCCAGUUGAAUUAUCAUAUAUUUUAAUUAAGAUCACAUUUUUUAUUAUUCUGUGCCAUUCUUCAGUAGGAAAUGAUGCAUCCAACCGAACAAGGUGCUCAGGUAGAAUUAGUUCAUUGUGAGUUCAUUGAGUAGCUUGCAGGCAAGUCGAAUGCCGGCUCCGGCCCUCAUUUUUGUCAUCCCUAAGAUAUUGUGUAUGUUUGUAUGUGUGGUUGUGUAUUCCAGUAGCAAUAAUAGUGGUGGUAUUAGUAGUAAUCACUGUGAACAGAGAUGAGUCUUUUAAAAUGAAAAGCUACUGCAAUUUAGUAGCUACCAUCAUAGUCUGAGCAUGACAUGAGGAGACUCGCUAGAAUAUUUCAGUCUUUAUUGAUUGAGGCCAAUAAAAACUGAGCUAGAGGCCAGGCAUGGUGGCUCAUGGCUGUAGUCCCAGCAUUUUGGGAAGCCAAGGCAGGUGGAUCACUUGAGGUCAGAAGUUUGAGACCAGCCUGGCCAAACUGGUGAAACCCUGUCUCUACUAAAAAUAUAGAAAUUAUCUGGGCAUGGUGGUGGGCACCUGUAAUCUCAGCUCCUCAGAAGGCUGAGGCAGGAGAAUCACUUGAAUCUGGGAAGCAGAGAUUGCAGUGAGCUGAGCUCACACCACUGAACUCCAGCCUGGGUGACAGAGCAAGACUCCAUGCCCCUGCCCCCCAAAAACUGAUUUAUAGACCCCAAUAAUUACCUUUCAGUUAUGUCAUGAGUGUGUACUUCACCACCUGGAUGCCACUGUAUAAUUCUAUUUGUCAUAAACUGUUUCUGGUCUUCUCUGUAAUUCCCCAGCACAUCUAUUACACCCUCUGUAGAGUAUCCUAAAGUGGUUGCCGUCAUCCCGGGUCAUCCCUCACUUCGGCUUCCAUAUUUUUAAGUGUCUUUUCCUUCCUCUUUGAGUGCCUCAGUUUCCCCCAGGAUACCUCUUGUGAUACUUAUUUCAUUCUGUCCACUCUCUCAGUGCUUGCUGUAUUCUCUCUGCUGUUGAAGGCUUUUGGUGUGAGAAUCACAGAAGGGAAGUAGUUGACAUACAGGCUCGACUAACAGGGCAGAUGCAGAGAAGUGGAUUUAUAAGGAAAAUAUGUGGAAGGAGCCCACGCCAAAGAGCCAACACUAGGAUUCCAGGCCUGGCUUGGCCACAGAUCUGCUGUGUGGUCCUAACAAGUCCCCUGCAUGGAGUAACGUGCACUAGGUUUAGCUAGUAUUAUAACUGUUGCUGGUUAUUAGAUGAUCUUUCUGGGCCUCAGUUUCCUCACUGUUAAGUAAGGAACAUGGCUUGGAUGAUAUCCUGAGUCCUCUCCACUCUCAUUUUAGGUGUAAUAAGACUAUAACCCUUACUAAGGUAAAUAACUAGGGAGCAAAGAUGAGGGCUUAAAUCUCUUGCAUCCCUUGCAAUACUUUGCACACUAAAGAAGCAGAGUAGCCAUUUAAGAAUUCAGAACUGAAGAUGAAGCUGAACAUCUCCUUCCCAGCCACUGGCUGCCAGAAACUCAUUGAAGUGGAUGAUGAACGCAAACUUUGUACUUUUUAUGAGAAGCGUAUGGCAACAGAAGUUGCCGCUGACGCUCUGGGUGAAGAAUGGAAGGGUUAUAUGGUCCGAAUCAGUGGUAGGAAUGACAAACAAGGUUUCCCCAUGAAGCAGGUGUCCUGACCCAUGGCCGUGUCCGCCUGCUACUGAGUAAGGGGCAUUCCUGUUACCGACCAAGGAGAACUGGAGAAAGAAAGAGAAAAUCAGUUCGUGGUUGCAUUGUGGAUGCUAAUCUGAGUGUUCUCAACUUGGUCAUUGUAAAAAAAGGAGAGAAGGAUAUUCCUGGACUAACUGAUACCACCGUGCCUCGUCGCCUGGGGCCCAAAAGAGCUAGCAGAAUCUGCAAACUUUUCAAUCUCUCUAAAGAAGAUGACGUCCGCCAGUAUGUUGUAAGAAAGCCCUUAAACAAAGAAGGUAAGAAACCUAGGACCAAAGCACCCAAGAUUCAGCGUCUUGUUACUCCACGUGUCCUGCAGCACAAACAGCAGCGUAUUGCUCUGAAGAAGCAGCGUACUAAGAAAAACAAGGAAGAGGCCGCAGAAUAUGCUAAACUUUUGGCCAAGAGAAUGAAGGAGGCUAAAGAGAAGCGCCAGGAACAAAUUGCGAAGAGACGCAGACUUUCGUCUCUGUGAGCUUCUACUUCUAAGUCUGAAUCCAGUCAGAAAUAAGAUUUUUUGAGUAACAAAUAAAUAAGAUCAGACUCAAAAAAAAAAAAAAGAAUUCAGGACUGCAACUGGGCGUUUAUGGCAUUGCUGAUGAAUUUUUAUUAUUUAACUAUAUGCAUUACUGGCAAAUUAAAGAAUAAAUGGACAAAUUCUACUCAGCAUUUGUAUAGUGUUUUGAAAGAGACCCACAUUCAUGAAUUUAAUGUCCAUCUCACCACCAUUCCCUAAAGUGGGUGGAGCAGAUCUGGCCUCAAUUUAUGGAUCAAUAAAUGGAAGCUUAGGGAGGUGGUUAUUUUUUCAGAUUUCACAGCUAGUAAGAGGCAAGUCUAGAACCACAAUCCCAGGCUCCUCAUUCCUAUGCCAGUGCAUUCUCCAGCCUCCUAAGGGCUGCCUUUUUAGGGUAGUUGGAACAGUAAGAAAUACUUUGUUGUGAAGACUGAUGACAUUCAGACGUAUUAAUCCCUAGAAGAUACAUGCCCCAAAGGAUCAUCACCCAGGAAUGUUACUAAAGUGAAGCUUACCCAUCUACUGUGAGGACCUGGCCAAGCAGAUCUGUGCCUGGAGUUAGAGUCAUGGCAGUGCUCCUAAUUCUGAAGAUGGGAUAUGGGAAGAGGACUUUGGGGUGUGCUGAGCUGACUGAGUAGAAACUUGAGCCUUGGCAUAAGUUUGGGAUUAGGGAAUUAUGAGAGACCCUCUUAAGAAAGAAGAAAGUGUUCCCAGACUCAAGAGCUCAUGAACCUGGGUCUUGCCCAUUCUGGGUAGGUAGCAAUAUAACCGUAUCUGCAGUGCUUGGAGGGCAAUGAAAAGGUUGUAUAAAGGAGUAUUCUUUGGCAGAUGUCUCUAGUUCCCUUGCUGCAACAAAUAAAGCUGGCCUCGCACUGGCCUGUCUGCUGCCGUGCUCUGCAGGGGUUGUAGUCACACUGAGCUGACCGUGUGGCCAUCUGGGCUCCUAGGAACUCCUAGAGGGGCCAGACAAUGAGGACCCAGGAGCUUCCAACCCAAGGUACUCCUAGAAGAUGCCGUUACUUGAAAGCAGCAUCUUCUGCCUCCAGGACUUGCUGAGAGACGUGCGAUGAGAGCAGCUGCUGUCAGCUGUCGGGAGGAGCUGCUGCCCCAAGAGAGCAGGAACGGCCUCUGGGAGCUGUGGGUGGCUCUUGCCCAAUGGGAGUCACCAGCAGGAGCAGCAGAUAGAGCGCCAGGUGAGGCAGUCCUUCCCGGUGGUACUUAGCCCCCAUAGAAUUCUUGAAAAGGGGCAACGUGGUUCAUCUUCCAAGAAGAAUCCUUCUCUAUUAGUUGACCUGGUUGGAGACCCAGCAGCUCAGGGUGGAGGCUUCAGCUGGCUUGAAUUGUCACCUGGUCUUCAAGGCACUUGUUGGAGGAGUGGCCCAGGGAAAAAGAACUGCCUUCCUAAAUGAUGUUGAUGGAAAUAAUAUCAGUAACCCAAUAGGUUUUCAAAGCAUAGUUUGUUGGCUGGGAGUGACGGUUCGAGCCUAUAAUCCCAGCACUUUGGGCUCAAGAAUCGCUUGAGGUCAGGAGUUUGAGACCAGUCUGGCCAGCAUGGUGAAACCCCAUCUCUACUAAAAAUAUAAAAAUUAGCCAGGAAUGGUGGUGGAUUCCUGUAAUCACAGCUACUUGGGAGGCUGAGGCAGGAGAAUCGCUUGAACCAGGGAGGCAGAGGCUAUAGUAAGCCAAGAUCACACCACUGAACUCCAGCCUGGGCGACACAGUGAGACUCUGUCUAAAAACAACAAGAACAAAAAGCUAAAAAAAAAAAAAAAACCCUUAAUUUGUUAAUAUUUGUAUUUCCUCUGCUCCAUCACUCUUUACUGAUUAACUCCCAAGUGGAAGUGAAUGUUUCCAUCACCUGUCGUCACACUGUCUGCAGCACUUCUGUGUCAGCCAUGCAUCCACUCCUUCAUCAAACAUUGGUAGAUGGGUCAGGCCAUCAAAUGUCAGUUUUCCUUUGCUGCAUUGUACUUAUUUAUGUACAUAUCUUAGCCCUCCACUGGACUGAAGGCUUUUUUGUUAAGUCAUGAUAGGUUAGGUUUAUGCUGUAGCCACAAAACCCCAGAGGCUUAACAUAACAACAAUUUUCUUUCUCACUCAUUCACAAAUCCUACAGGAUUUGGUUGGGUGGAUAUUGAGGGGCUGCUUCAUAUAAUUCCUCAGGGACUCAGGAUGGCUGGGGUUCUACUGUCUUAUAGCUGAGCUAACUGGAAUGUGUGGCUUUGAUCACUGAGACAGGGAAGAGAGCACUGAAGGGUCUCACCCCAGCAAUUACAUUACAAUUACAAUUAUAGUCCUGAAGGGUCUCAUGCCAGCCUGGAGAUGGCAUCACAUCUACUCACAGCCCAUCAGCCAGAACUAAUCACAUGGUCCCCACUUAACUCCAAGGGAGGCAGAAAGUGUAAUCUUCCUGUGUGCCCAGAAGAAAAGAACGGGAUGAGGGUGAGCACUAGAAGUCUCUCCACAAGCUUUUUAUCAUGUUCUUGAUGAAAAGUGAGCUAUGUAUUCCCAGUUGCUCAGUCUGGAAAAGACUAAUAAAUAACGUAGGCAUCCUCUGUGUGAAGGUCUUGGUCUUUUCCUUUUCCUAGUAACAGGGAGACAGAAUGGUAGGUGCAUGAUUAGGGGCAGAAGCAGUCCCCUAAGGGGGCCCCAGACCCUCCUUCCUGGGCAAGGCUUAGCCUCAUGUCCUGCCAUGGAACAAGUCUGACAACUGCAUACCACCCUCACCCCAGAGCCCCAGCGCACCUGGCUUCUCCUGCUCUGUGGGCCUAGGUGGAGGCCCGUUGACCAGGUCUCAGUUAUGUGACAUCUGGCAUACUUAAAAAUGUACUGUCUACCUCCAUUCAUGCAGUUGCCAUCUGGGUGAUCUAAUAUUGCAAGUUAUUAUGUCCUAACUUGGAGUGAGAGUACAAGAAGUGGUGAUCAGAGUUCAGAAGGCAGUGGGUAUUUGAGGGUGCACAUUCAUGGGGAAUAAAUGACUGGAGUCAGGAGUAAAAGAAUUAAAACAUGGAAAAUUUGAAUUUACAACUGCGAUGGUUAUCCUUCUUGUAACUGUGUUUUUAAAUAUUGGUUGAUUGUUUUUCAUCGUUUGGAUUUUGCAUAAAGAAAUGUUUGAUGUCACAUUUGCCUUGUCUGUGGUUUCUGUGAUAGGCCCCUGCACUAGUGUGGCAGUCCUCAACCGCAGGCUUCUGAGGACAGAGCCUGUCCUGCCUCUGUGCUGCCUCCUUCACUCUCUCUAGGCAGCUCCUUCUGCAAUGCAAAAUAAGGUGUUUAAUAAAUGAUGAGGUUGGUGAAUGUGGUCUACAGGGACAGCCUUCAUAUUUAAUUCACUACACCCUCAUUCUUAUCUAUUCUUUUUUUUUUUUUUUUUUUUGAGAUGGAGUUUCGCUCUUGUUACCCAGGCUGGAGUGCAAUGGCGUGUUCUCAGCUCACCACAACCUCCGCCUCCUGGGUUCAGGCAAUUCUCCUGCCUCAGCCUCCCGAGUAGCUGGGAUUACAGGCACGCGCCACCAUGCCCAGCUAAUUUUUUGUAUUUUUAGUAGAGAUGGUGUUUCACCAUGUCGACCAGGAUGGUGUCGAUCUCUCGUGAUCCACCCGCCUCGGCCUCCCAAAGUGCUGGGAUUACAGGCGUGAGCCACCACACCCGGCCUUCUUUCCUAUUCUUUAGAAGUACUGUUGGGACCUUCCAAUCUCAUAUUCUACUGUCCUCCUUCUCCUCCAUUUCUCUCUCUCUCUCUCCCCAGAAAAAUUCUAUCUGUGAAAAUCCCAUUUUGUUUGAAGGAUGAUAAUCUGCAGGGAAACUUAUGGAAUGUGAUGGGUUUACUGGAGUUCCGGAGUGACAGACCCCCAAGAACCCCCUUCGCUUAUGCAGAGCUUCCUGUAGAGAUGGCAUCAAUGUCCUCAGCGAUCUGGAAUAAACUGAGUGUGAAGUGGAGAGACUUUGAAGUCUCUCCCGCCUGACUUCAAUCCCACCCCUGCUAUUGACUGGUUGUGCAAGGUUGGGUCUCACGUUAGAUCUUGUUCCCUUCUGAUCUAUAGUGGAUCAUGGUGUCUGUUACUCCAUCUACCUGCCACACUUUCCCAUCUCUCUUCCCGUGGUUUUGAUUCCUUGAGGGGACCUCCUCAUGCAUCCCACGUGGUCAUACUGUGGCUGGCAGUCAUAGAAUUGUGACUGGGUUUUGGGGUGCAGGGGAGGCAUAGCUCCCCUGAGAGAAUGUCUUUUUGGGUCCUUGGUCUCUCUCUCACCCAAGAAUGGGAAAGGGGACCAUGCCAGAUGCAGUGCACUGGUAAAGUAAAUAAAGGACCCAAAAUUUUGCAGAAAGUAAUUUAUUUAGGUAGAGAGAAAGAGAGUAACAGCUGGCUUUCACACUGAGUGAGAAGGAAAAGCCGUUCUCACACUGAGUGAGAAGGAUUCCCAGAGGGGGAAAACCAAGGAAGGAAAGCUUGUCUUACAUUGAGUGAGAGAAUCCAGAAAGAUGGAAUCCAGGAGAGGAAAGAUACCUUCCACACCGGGUAGAAGGGGACCCCAGAGGGGGAAAUCCAGGAGAGAGUUCGUGGAAGAGGAUUCAAACAUGGACUCCGAAGGGGUGUGGAAGAAGGGGACUUUUAACCUGGAAGGAAUUCCCACCUUCUCCAAAUUCCCUGGCCAAUGAAAGGAGUUCCUUUAAACUUCUGCUGGAGUGAUUGAGUUUUGUUUCUUUCCCAUGUGCACAAAAAUUAAAACAAAUACCUCUAAU